UGUUCGAGUGUAAAAGCCUUUUGGAGGCUUGCAGCUCGGUUCUCGAUGAAGGCAGCUCGAGUCCUCACGAGGCUAAAUCAUCCAUGUCACAAGACAUUGACAGGCUGAUUUGGAUAAUGUAGAGGAGGGGGUGCUGGGGGUCGGAGUAAACAAAAUUCCCAAAAGAACCUCCACCAAGAGGCCGACCUAUCCAACAAGACCAGAGAGGACGUUGAAAAGGGCAACGGUCCCGGUCAAAGCCGAGGAGGAGAAAUCAGAGGUGAAUGAAGAUGCUGAGAUCUCUGGGAGGAGAAGUAACAGGCUGGCAGGCCGCAGAGUCUUCAUUGACAUUCCUAAGAAGAAGUACAUGAGGAAGAUGGAGGACCAGACCAAGACGCAGACGGGAGGAUCUGCCUGACAACACUCAGACCAAGACAGCCGGUCAAGAGGAGAACACUGCGAAUACAGAGAAGGGAGGCAGGAGAGGCCCUUCCAGAGCUGCUGCCUGAAAAAGAGGGGGCGGGGCUGAGGUCAACAGACUUCGAUGAUGUGGAAGGAGAUAUACCCGAGGAUUGUCCUGAUGACUCACUUUUCUUCCCCAGGAAGGAAGCGAUGGGUGAGGAAGUUACCCUCACCAGAUCAUCUAGACAUGCUGACAACCAAAACAAGUGUGACAAGUGUCAACAGACCUUCCACUAUGAGAAUAGAUACCUAAAGCACAUCAAGACGAGCCACGGUGUGCAGGGGGAGGUGACAUACCGUUAUGACACCUGCCAGCAGAUUUUUGCCAACCUUUGAAACCCGAGGAUCCAUCAGAGACACGUCCACAGUGACGAGAGUGUACCCCUGCGACGUCUGCACCAAGACUUUCAAACGCAUGAAGGACAUGACGCGCCUCCAACGACAGGUGCAUUCGGGAGGCGGAGUGCGGCACACCGGUCUUGUGUGUAACAGGGCACUGAGCUCUAAGACAGCGUUGAGGUGGAGGGGGAGAGUGGAGUUGGAGGUAGGCCCCAGGAGGGGGCCAUGUUGGUACAUGGUCAAUGAUCCAACACACCUCCAGGCUGUGUAAGGGCUAUUUGACAAAGGAGGAGACUGAUGGAGUGCUGCAUCAGAUGACCUGGCCUCCACAAUCACUCAACCUCAACCCAAUUGAUAUGGUUUGGGAUGAGUUGGACCGCAGAGUGAAGGACAAUCACCUCAGCAUGUGGGAACUCCUUCAAGUCUAUUGGAAAAACAUUCCUCGUGAAGCUGGUUGAGAGAAUGCCAAGAGUGUGCAAAGCUGUCAAGGCAAAAGGCUGGCUACUUUAAAUAAUUUCAAAUAAAAAAUAUUUUGACUUGUUUAACACUU
Long non-coding RNA from Oncorhynchus keta (chum salmon), 1330 nucleotides. RefSeq lists it as uncharacterized. NCBI's taxonomy places the organism in Eukaryota, Metazoa, Chordata, Actinopteri, Salmoniformes, Salmonidae. The transcript is spliced from 5 exons. The record is from RefSeq and is a predicted model, not a curated record.